RNAcentral lists this ribosomal RNA (497 nucleotides) under uncultured bacterium. Its description in RNAcentral is "partial 16S ribosomal RNA". It matches the Rfam family "Bacterial small subunit ribosomal RNA", at positions 28 to 507 of the family's 1533-position model. The record is from RNAcentral.
GAUGAACGCUGGCGGCGUGCCUAACACAUGCAAGUCGAGCGAACGGACGAGAAGGUGGCUUCUCGGAUGUUAAAGGCGGAAGGGAGAGUAACAUAUGGAGAACCUACCUAUAAGACUGGGAUAGCUACGGGAAACCGGUGCUAAUACGGGAUGAUAUUUUGAACCGGAUGGUUGAAAAGUUAAGGACGGUUUUGCUGGCACUUAUGGAUGGCUCCGCGCUGCAUUAGCUAGUUGGUAAGUUAACGGCUUACCAAGGCAACGAUGCAUAGCCGACCUGAGAGGGUGUACGGCCACACUGGAGCUGAGACACGGUCUAGAGUCCGACGGGAGGCCCAAGCUGGUACGCUUGCGCACUGGGGGAAAGCCUGACCGAUCAGCGCCGCGCGAGUGAUGCAGGGCUGCGGACCGGAAAACUGUGUUAGUGGGGAAGACCAUAUGUGUAAGUAACUGUGCACAUCGUGACGGUACCUACUCAGGAAGCCACGGCUAACUACGUG